RNAcentral lists this long non-coding RNA (596 nucleotides) under Monodelphis domestica (gray short-tailed opossum). RNAcentral's name for it is "lncRNA (ENSMODG00000032826.2)". The record is from RNAcentral. Lineage: Eukaryota; Metazoa; Chordata; Mammalia; Didelphimorphia; Didelphidae.
GCACCAAAUAAUAUAGCACCCAAAUUUCUAAUGGAGAAACUAGGAGAAUUGAAGGAAGAAAUAGACAGUAAAACCAUAUUAGUGGGAGACGGCUGGGGCAGAUAUGGAGGAUCUCUAAAGCUCUGGCCAGGCUGCCAGGUCUAUGCUCCUUCUAGGCUGCCAUCUUGACUUCGCCUCUAGGUUUCUGUUUUUUCAGAACACCCAGGUCUCUAAGGGGGGAGGGGUCGUGGCUUGCCUGGACUCUGAUAACUCCUGAUGGGAUUAGGUUCAGGUGGUAUGGGCCAAAUGAUCCCCAAGCCAAAAAAAAGAAGAAAAAGAAAAGCAGCAACCUCCUCCUCCACCAUCUGUGUUGGGUGCCCAGAAACUGGCCCAGGUUACUUUCAAGGCCAACUAGAUAAUUCAGAUGAAAAUUGAAAUUGAAUGCAUGGAGAAACAAAGAGAUUACAUUUUUGACCUGGAUGAUGCAGCACCCCACACAAAGUAAAUAAUAUGAAGACCAACAAAAGCAACCAACUGAUAAAUGAACAAAGAAGUCACUAAGCAGGCAAGUUAAAUAAUUAGUUUUGGGUUUAUUAAAUAGAGUUAUAUAUUAUAAU